CCUACGGGAGGCUGCAGUGGGGGAUAUUGCACAAUGGGGGGAACCCUGAUGCAGCGACGCCGCGUGGGUGAAGAAGCGCCUCGGCGCGUAAAGCCCUGUCAGCAGGGAAGAAAAUGACGGUACCUGAAGAAGAAGCCCCGGCUACCUACGUGCCAGCAGCCGCGGUAAUACGUAGGGGGCAAGCGUUAUCCGGAUUUACUGGGGGGAAAGGGGGCGCAGACGGGGAUGCAAGCCAGGAGUGAAAGCCCGGGGCCCAACCCCGGGAGUGCUCUUGGAACUGCGUGGCUGGAGUGCAGGAGGGGCAGGCGGAAUUCCUGGUGUAGCGGUGAAAUGCGUAGAUAUCAGGAGGAACACCGGUGGCGAAGGCGGCCUGCUGGACUGCAACUGACGUUGAGGCCCGAAAGCGUGGGGAGCAAACAGGGUUAGAUACCCGAGUAGUC
Molecule: ribosomal RNA, 440 nt
Filed under: uncultured bacterium
Lineage: Bacteria
Description: partial 16S ribosomal RNA
Rfam family: Bacterial small subunit ribosomal RNA
Source: RNAcentral